RNAcentral lists this ribosomal RNA (253 nucleotides) under uncultured bacterium. RNAcentral describes it as "partial 16S ribosomal RNA". It matches the Rfam family "Bacterial small subunit ribosomal RNA", at positions 524 to 776 of the family's 1533-position model. The record is from RNAcentral.
UACGUAGGUGGCAAGCGUUGUCCGGAUUUACUGGGCGUAAAGAGCGCGCAGGCGGUCGUUCAAGUCGCGUGUGCAAGCCCCCGGCUCAACUGGGGAGGGUCACGCGAUACUGAUCGACUGGAAGGCAGGAGAGGGUAGUGGAAUUCCCGGUGUAGUGGUGAAAUGCGUAGAUAUCGGGAGGAACACCAGUGGCGAAGGCGACUACCUGGCCUGUUCUUGACGCUGAGGCGCGAAAGCUAGGGGAGCAAACGGG